CUACAGGCUUAACACAUGCAAGUCGAGGGGAAACGACAUCGAAAGCUUGCUUUUGAUGGGCGUCGACCGGCGCACGGGUGAGUAACGCGUAUCCAACCUGCCCAUCACUUGGGGAUAACCUUGCGAAAGUAAGACUAAUACCCAAUGACGUCUCUAGAAGACAUCUGAAAGGGAUUAAAGAUUUAUCGGUGAUGGAUGGGGAUGCGUCUGAUUAGCUUGUUGGCGGGGUAACGGCCCACCAAGGCGACGAUCAGUAGGGGUUCUGAGAGGAAGGUCCCCCACAUUGGAACUGAGACACGGUCCAAACUCCUACGGGAGGCAGCAGUGAGGAAUAUUGGUCAAUGGGCGAGAGCCUGAACCAGCCGAGUAGCGUGCAGGAUGACGGCCCUAUGGGUUGUAAACUGCUUUUAUAAGGGAAUAAAGUGAGUCUCGUGAGACUUUUUGCAUGUACCUUAUGAAUAAGGACCGGCUAAUUCCGUGCCAGCAGCCGCGGUAAUACGGAAGGUCCGGGCGUUAUCCGGAUUUAUUGGGUUUAAAGGGAGCGUAGGCCGGAGAUUAAGCGUGUUGUGAAAUGUAGACGCUCAACGUCUGCACUGCAGCGCGAACUGGUUUCCUUGAGUACGCACAAAGUGGGCGGAAUUCGUGGUGUAGCGGUGAAAUGCUUAGAUAUCACGAAGAACUCCGAUUGCGAAGGCAGCUCACUGGAGCGCAACUGACGCUGAAGCUCGAAAGUGCGGGUAUCGAACAGGAUUAGAUACCCUGGUAGUCCGCACGGUAAACGAUGGAUGCCCGCUGUUGGUCUGAAUAGGUCAGCGGCCAAGCGAAAGCAUUAAGCAUCCCACCUGGGGAGUACGCCGGCAACGGUGAAACUCAAAGGAAUUGACGGGGGCCCGCACAAGCGGAGGAACAUGUGGUUUAAUUCGAUGAUACGCGAGGAACCUUACCCGGGCUUGAAUUGCAGAGGAAGGAUUUGGAGACAAUGACGCCCUUCGGGGCCUCUGUGAAGGUGCUGCAUGGUUGUCGUCAGCUCGUGCCGUGAGGUGUCGGCUUAAGUGCCAUAACGAGCGCAACCCCUCUCCUUAGUUGCCAUCAGGUCAAGCUGGGCACUCUGGGGACACUGCCACCGUAAGGUGUGAGGAAGGUGGGGAUG
Molecule: ribosomal RNA, 1150 nt
Filed under: uncultured bacterium
Lineage: Bacteria
Description: bacterial SSU rRNA
Rfam family: Bacterial small subunit ribosomal RNA
Source: RNAcentral